RNAcentral lists this long non-coding RNA (3970 nucleotides) under Homo sapiens (human). Its description in RNAcentral is "HSALNT0153955". The record is from RNAcentral. Lineage: Eukaryota; Metazoa; Chordata; Mammalia; Primates; Hominidae.
CAAAGGAGCCGUCGAUUUCAAAACCAUCAACUUUCAAAGCCAGGUCCCUCCCUUGCCUUACAACCUCCUGUUACUUGUUAAGCACGUUUGUUAGGCGGCUGGACAGAAACUUAGUUAAAAGUCCUCAGCCCGGUGGUGGGGGACAACCGAGUCGUCAGUGGGAAGCGAGAGGUGCGGAGCCCCAGGGGCGCAGGGACCCCUCGGAGGUGCAAGUCCAGCGGGACGAGGUUUUGGGAGAAUUUCGAGGGCCCCUCGCAAGCCCUCCCGCGCACCCACCCCGACCCAGCGCCGGACAGCUGGCAGGACUCCGGUGGACGCCCCGGCACGGGGCAUUUUCACGUUGUCGCUCUCCUCUUCCCACUCGAAAAGCUCUGGAAAACAUCGCGGGGCCCGCAAAACCCCGGAAAUGUGGCCUCUCUUUCGUGGCUCACUUUCUAAACUUUCCAGAAGGCGCAAAGUUUCUCCCAGCGCCGCCCUGCACUGGAGGCUGCGAAGAACGCAGAAGCGGCUUUGCUGCUAGGAAGGAUUUCCGGAGUGAUCACAAUUAUCGGCCUCUCGCUCCACAGCUAAGGCCACCGCAUAUCAAAAAUAGCAGCGUGUGAGUAAAAGUUUCAUGAGCCCUCGCCUUGAAAUGGCACAGAGGACACAGCACACCAGCAGUAAGGCAUGGGGACUCGGCAGGACUGAUCUGAUUGAGAGAAACGCAGGACAGCGAGGCGGGGCUAUGUUGGUGGUGGCCACCAGGUAACCGUGGGCUUUGCAGAAGAGAAAGGUCACUGCAAACCGUAGCUGGACGGAAACUUUUCAAGCCUCAAGUGAGUUAUGCUGUGACGGGACCAUGACCAUCUCCCACCGGUGACUGCUUAGAACCUUGACCAAGCUCGUGUGGUUUUCACAGGAUGCUCAGGGCUGAGUCCUGGCUGUAAAUAAUUUACUAUCUAAAGCUGUUUCCUUUUAAAAACAAUGGUUCUAAUCUUUUUUUUAAAAAAAAUCAUUCAAAUCUUUUUUAAAAAUCCACUUUAAAUAACUUUGCUUUCUAUACCUUUCCUACGAAUAUAUGAUUUAUUUUAUAACCUACUAUGUGAAAAAAUUGAAAUUUUAGUACAUGCACAGUGCUAAUAUGUUCAUGCACAAUGCUACUUAUGUUUGUGUACGGCAUGCAGAAAUGUGUAUAGAUAUGUAUACCCAUGAAUACAAACCACUCCCUUAUCUCACAAAUAAUCAUAGGGGUUGAUACCAAACUAUAAGAAAUAUUAUAUUGGGAUGAAUAGGCAAAUGUUCACUAUAAAAUCUCAGUAUCAUAAAAAGUAUAUAUUGGUAAGAAAAAAAUAUACUCGAAAGAGGUUUCCAUAUAUUUUUAACCAUAGCUCUACUCAAGUCAAAAAAUCACUUAUUAGCUAAUUUUCCCGUCUCUUUCUUCCUAUACACUGUACUUACUAUCAGAUUUCUUAACACCAAUACUUCUAUAUCUAAUAUAAAGACAUUUUAAAAUUAAUUAUUUCCAUGUUUAGCCUUUCCCCAUAAAUCAAAGGUAAAGUAAAAGGAGUUUCUUACCUACCACUCAACUUGAAUAUUUUUAAUAUGUUGAUUUUGUCUCUUACCUUCUUAAGGAAUACAGUUGCUUCUGUUUUGACUAUCUUAACUACUCUGUGGCCCCUUCUAACAUCAAAUUGGGAGGCCUGUCCGUACAAGACAUGUGUAUUCAACAGUAAGUUAUUUGCUAUAAAACACUUCAUUUCCUCUUUAUUUGGUCUGCUGUGGCCUGAAAUGAAAUAUAGAACAAACUGAAAGGUCUGCCUGGACAGACCUGUCUUCCUGACAAGCGUGGACCUGUCUAAAUGAGACAGCUUCUGCAGCCAGCUUUAGAUCGAUAACUCUAAAAUUAAAUGUAGGUAUGUACAUCCAGUAGAAAAGGACAGAGAAAAUGAAAUACAAUACAGAAUUCAGUUCAGCAUCUAGAUUAAUCCAUAAAACCUAGCUCAUUAUGUUCCAAAUGAGCUACUUUUCUCAUCUGUAAAAUGGAAUAAUGGUACCAGUGCAGUCUUUUAUAUGGUUCCAAGUUGUCUUUUAUCAAAGUAAAAUAAUAUAUUUGGGUGGGCUUCUGAAGACACUAACAUUGAUGAUGAGGUUUCAACAGGAACAAAGAAUACCUUGAUAAAUUUUCUUGAAUGUUUUCUCCUGUCUGUAGUCCUCUUGUCAUUCAGACAUUCCCUUUCUUGGAGAGUCAUCCUGAUGCUUUCUGUCCUAACCUUUCUCUCCUCCCCUCUGCCAAGCAGUAUUUCUUUAGAUUUGUUUCUUCAAAUGACUUCAGCAGAGGUAAAGACCCAAAGACAGCUGGCGCUGUCAAACAUGACAAAAAAUAUUCUUAGCCACAGUGGCUCAUGCUUGUAAUCCCAGCAUUUUGGGAGGCUGAGGCGAGAGGAGCGCUUGAGCCCAGGAGUUCGAAGCUGCAGUGAGCUGCCAUUGUGCCACUGCACUCCAGCCUGGGCAACAGCCAGGCCCUGUCUCUUAAAAAGUUUUAAAAUUUUUAAAUAUAUAUGUAUGUUCAGCAAAAUGAAGCCAGGCAUGGUGGCUCACACCUGUAAUCCCAGCACCUUGGGAGGCCAAGGUGGGCAGAUCGCUUGAGGCCAAGAGUUUGAGACCAGCCUGGCCAACAUGUCUGUCUCUACUAAAACCCUGUCUCUACUAAAAAUAUAAAAAUUAGCCGGCAUGGUGGUGCAUGCCUGUAGUCCCAGCUGUUGGGAGGCUGAGGCAUAAGAAUCUCUUGAACUUGGGAGAGAGAGGUUGCAGUGAGCCAAGAUUGCACCACUGCACUCCAGCCUGGGCAACAGAACAAGACUGUGUCUCAGAAAAAGUUCAGCAAAAUGAAACAUUGUGAUGGAUAUUUCAAGUUCAGGUUUUACAUUAAUAUCUGGAAGGACACCAUAGACUUUGUCAGACUAUUGAUAUAAGCUAGUGAUCCAAGGACUAUAAUUUGAGAAGCAUUUCGGGUGGAAAAAUUGGCUGUCACUGCCUUUGGCACUAUUAUUUGUUCAAAAGGUUCCCCAGUCAUGGCACACUCAUGGAAGAGUUCUCUCUUCCUCCCUCUGUUCGCUUCCCUCUGGCAAAAAGCUUUUGAAAUUUUCUGUUCGAGAGUAAUCAAAACUAUCAGCAAAACGAUCUGUUGGAAACUUUCCCUCCAGUCUAUUAAGGUAGAGACUGAUUCAAAGACAGUAUUUUGGUGAAACAAUACCCUGAGAGAACUCAGCCUUUUCCGGAAAGUUUUGCAGAUGAUGCCUCCAGGCAUAGUUUUCUUCCUCCUUGAAAUGGGGUAUUUGUGCCUCUCCAGUGUUUUUCCCCUUGGCUAGGGGGGAAAAAAAAGCAUUCUCCUUAGGAAACCUUUCUAUUUUAAAAGUCCAGCGGCAAAGGUGGGUGGGGCAGCCCAAUUUAGUAAAAAGUAAUAAUAAUAACACUCUUCAGAGUGCAGGUGGCAUAAGGAGAUUCCAAGAAUGGAGAGAAUUUGGGUUUGCAUGCAGCAGCCUCCUGCAAGGACUAGGCUGCAAUGAAAGCCCCAAACAGAGUAACUCUGUGUUCACCUUUUUCUUAUCACAUACAUCUGCAUGAAUACUCUGGGUAACAUCAGAAGUAGGUCAAGGCUAGCAGAUCCUUUCUCUGUAGUCUCCCUCAUCCAAAAUAAAAAAGGCUUAGAUCUAAAACAGAGUGAAGAAAGACAAGGAAAAGGAAAAAAAUAUAUGUGUGUUAUAUAUACAACUAUAAAGCUAAAAAUGGAUCUGGAUACAAAGAAAUCAUAGAAAGGGUCAACAAAACAAAAACCUAGUUCUAUAGAACAAUAGCAAGAUAGAUAAAUUUCUGGUAAAAUUGACAAUGAAAAAAGAGAAAAGAAGGCUAUGAAUAUGGAGAUUAUAAUUACAGUUUCAGUAGAAUUUUUUAAAUCCUAAGAAUACUAUGAACAUUAAAAAACUUGGCUGAA